Molecule: ribosomal RNA, 705 nt
Filed under: Streptomyces griseorubens
Lineage: Bacteria; Bacillati; Actinomycetota; Actinomycetes; Kitasatosporales; Streptomycetaceae
Description: bacterial SSU rRNA
Rfam family: Bacterial small subunit ribosomal RNA
Source: RNAcentral
CCCUGCACUCUGGGACAAGCCCUGGAAACGGGGUCUAAUACCGGAUACUGACCCGCUUGGGCAUCCAAGCGGUUCGAAAGCUCCGGCGGUGCAGGAUGAGCCCGCGGCCUAUCAGCUUGUUGGUGAGGUAAUGGCUCACCAAGGCGACGACGGGUAGCCGGCCUGAGAGGGCGACCGGCCACACUGGGACUGAGACACGGCCCAGACUCCUACGGGAGGCAGCAGUGGGGAAUAUUGCACAAUGGGCGAAAGCCUGAUGCAGCGACGCCGCGUGAGGGAUGACGGCCUUCGGGUUGUAAACCUCUUUCAGCAGGGAAGAAGCGAAAGUGACGGUACCUGCAGAAGAAGCGCCGGCUAACUACGUGCCAGCAGCCGCGGUAAUACGUAGGGCGCGAGCGUUGUCCGGAAUUAUUGGGCGUAAAGAGCUCGUAGGCGGCUUGUCACGUCGGUUGUGAAAGCCCGGGGCUUAACCCCGGGUCUGCAGUCGAUACGGGCAGGCUAGAGUUCGGUAGGGGAGAUCGGAAUUCCUGGUGUAGCGGUGAAAUGCGCAGAUAUCAGGAGGAACACCGGUGGCGAAGGCGGAUCUCUGGGCCGAUACUGACGCUGAGGAGCGAAAGCGUGGGGAGCGAACAGGAUUAGAUACCCUGGUAGUCCACGCCGUAAACGGUGGGCACUAGGUGUGGGCGACAUUCCACGUCGUCCGUG